This 172-nucleotide non-coding RNA is filed under the name Ureibacillus massiliensis. RNAcentral describes it as "Lysinibacillus massiliensis GlcN6P sequence". It matches the Rfam family "glmS glucosamine-6-phosphate activated ribozyme aptamer". Rfam says of the family: This entry contains a glucosamine-6-phosphate activated ribozyme that is found in the mRNA for GlmS. GlmS is an enzyme that uses fructose-6-phosphate and glutamine to generate glucosamine-6-phosphate. The ribozyme catalyses self cleavage of the glmS mRNA that is thought to regulate GlmS activity. RNAcentral also lists the same sequence under 1 other name. The record is from RNAcentral. Lineage: Bacteria; Bacillati; Bacillota; Bacilli; Caryophanales; Caryophanaceae.
AAAACAAUUACAGCGCCUGAGCUAAGGAAAUCGGACGGUCAUGAAUCCUUAGUUGACGAGGUGGAGGUUAUCGAAUUUUCGGCGGAUGCCUCCCGAUCGAGAUGCCCGAUUGUUACUUUCGUUUUAAAACAUAAAAGUGAUUUUAUGGACAGAAGAACGAAAAGGCAAAUAC